This 433-nucleotide ribosomal RNA is filed under the name uncultured bacterium. RNAcentral describes it as "partial 16S ribosomal RNA". It matches the Rfam family "Bacterial small subunit ribosomal RNA", at positions 29 to 507 of the family's 1533-position model. The record is from RNAcentral.
AACGAACGCUGGCGGCAGGCCUAACACAUGCAAGUCGAGCGCGCCCUUCGGGGUGAGCGGCGGACGGGUGAGUAACGCGUGGGAACGUGCCCUUCUCUGCGGAAUAGCCUCGGGAAACUGAGAGUAAUACCGCAUACGCCCUUUGGGGGAAAGAUUUAUCGGAGAAGGAUCGGCCCGCGUUGGAUUAGGUAGUUGGUGGGGUAAUGGCCCACCAAGCCGACGAUCCAUAGCUGGUUUGAGAGGAUGAUCAGCCACACUGGGACUUAGACACGGCCCAGACUCCUACGGGAGGCAGCAGUGGGGAAUCUUAGACAAUGGGGGCAACCCUGAUCUAGCCAUGCCGCGUGAGUGAUGAAGGCCUUAGGGUUGUAAAGCUCUUUCAGCUGGGAAGAUAAUGACGUUACCAGCAGAAGAAGCCCCGGCUAACUCCGUG